RNAcentral lists this long non-coding RNA (555 nucleotides) under Canis lupus familiaris (dog). RNAcentral's name for it is "lncRNA (ENSCAFG00030014615.1)". Lineage: Eukaryota; Metazoa; Chordata; Mammalia; Carnivora; Canidae. The record is from RNAcentral.
AUGGGAGAUGAGGAAGCCAUCGGGGCUCGGAGGGGGCCUCGCUGGGUCCGGAGGGUCCCCGCCAGCGUCAGCCCUUCUGUGCGGCCAGAGCGUCUGUCCUGGUUUAUUGAAAGCCAGCGGAAUACUCCAUUUCACCCGCUUCAGUGGGAAACGUUUCGCAGAAAAACACAAGAAGGGGUCUUCAUUCCUGGACGCCCCAGUGAUGUGUCCCCUCCGGCUCUCCGGAAGCUUCUACAGCCGGGGCUUUGGCGACCUGCCCACGGAGCCCCAGGACCCGAGCCCCAUGGCAUUCUCGGGGGUCCGCGCGGCUGCCGGCGGUCAGCGGCUUUCAACGCUGGGCUCGGGCUCAGGCCUCUCCUUUUCCACGGGGGUUCACCGCAUCGUCUGCCCCGAGUCCGGCUUCCCCGCUGGCCCCGCCUGAGGACGGUCGCCGUGACGCACUGUCUUCACCUGCUGAUUCGUCCCUUCUGGAGGCUCGUGGCCUCCCCCGGCCUGAGGCUGACGUCUGGGCUCAGGACGGUGUCCCACGGCUCCAGAGGGGAUUCCGCGCGUUGA